This 453-nucleotide ribosomal RNA is filed under the name uncultured Porphyromonadaceae bacterium. RNAcentral describes it as "partial 16S ribosomal RNA". It matches the Rfam family "Bacterial small subunit ribosomal RNA", at positions 341 to 792 of the family's 1533-position model. The record is from RNAcentral. Lineage: Bacteria; Pseudomonadati; Bacteroidota; Bacteroidia; Bacteroidales; Porphyromonadaceae.
ACGGAAGGCAGCAGUGAGGAAUAUUGGUCAAUGGGCGGAAGCCUGAACCAGCCAAGUCGCGUGAAGGAUGAAGGUAUUAUGUAUUGUAAACUUCUUUAGUCGCAGAGAAAUAAGGAUCUCGUGAGGUCUGAUGCUAGUAUGCGAAGAAUAAGGAUCGGCUAACUCCGUGCCAGCAGCCGCGGUAAUACGGAGGAUCCGAGCGUUAUCCGGAUUUAUUGGGUUUAAAGGGUGCGCAGGUGGUCUUUUAAGUCAGUGGUCAAAUCGCGGAGCUCAACUCCGUCCCGCCAUUGAUACUGGGAGACUUGAUUGCGGUCGAGGUUGGCGGAAUUCGUCGUGUAGCGGUGAAAUGCAUAGAUAUGACGAAGAACACCGAUUGCGUAGGCAGCUGACCAGGCCGUAAAUGACGCUCAUGCACGAAAGUGCGGGGAUCAAACAGGAUUAGAUACCCUGGUA